UGGCUGAAGGACUUCCCACAAUCACUGCACUCAUACGGCUUUUCUCCUGUGUGAGUUCUCUUGUGACUGUUAAAGGUAGACCUUUGACUGAAUGACUUCUCACAGUCGCUAUACUCAUAUGGCCUUUCUCCAGUGUGAACUCUCUUGUGGGUAAGAAUUUGACUAUUGCACCUAAAAGAUUUCCCAC
This is a long non-coding RNA of Pipistrellus kuhlii (Kuhl's pipistrelle), 187 nucleotides long. RefSeq lists it as uncharacterized. The transcript is spliced from 3 exons. The record is from RefSeq and is a predicted model, not a curated record. NCBI's taxonomy places the organism in Eukaryota, Metazoa, Chordata, Mammalia, Chiroptera, Vespertilionidae.